GAGCUGUGAGGAGAUAUUGCACAUCUUGUGGUUGACGUUCAAUCACGCUCGUCUGACCUAACAGAUGAUAUCUCGUGCAUCUGAGCUC
Prosopis cineraria is the source of this 88-nucleotide small nucleolar RNA. RefSeq annotates it as small nucleolar RNA snoR114. The transcript has a single exon. The record is from RefSeq and is a predicted model, not a curated record. Lineage: Eukaryota; Viridiplantae; Streptophyta; Magnoliopsida; Fabales; Fabaceae.